Molecule: small nucleolar RNA, 154 nt
Organism: Balaenoptera musculus (blue whale)
Lineage: Eukaryota; Metazoa; Chordata; Mammalia; Artiodactyla; Balaenopteridae
Source: Ensembl
CCUUCAUUUCUUGGCAGGGAGGGGGCUUGCGGUCCUGGUCCCCGUAAUGCAGGGAGUAGAGGGAAAGAGGUAAGGCUCUGGCCCCCUUGGCAUCAUGUCUUCGGUACCGGCGGCUUCUAGUCUGCCGGUUCUAUCCUCAAGAGCCAGGACAUGG